UUGGAGGGCAAGUCUGGUGCCAGCAGCCGCGGUAAUUCCAGCUCCAAUAGCGUAUAUUAAAGUUGUUGCAGUUAAAAAGCUCGUAGUUGAAUUUCGGGAUUGACGUGAUGGUCAUGCCUUAAGGGGUAUGAACUGUUACAGUUGAUUUCUCACCUUCUGGAGAAACUUGAUGUCCUUUAUUGGGUGUCUUGCGGAUCCAGGACCUUUACCUUGAAAAAAUUAGAGUGUUUAAAGCAGGCAUUUUUGCUCGAAUACAUUAGCAUGGAAUAAUAGAAUAGGACGGCAUGGUUCUAUUUUGUUGGUUUCUAGGAUCACCGUAAUGAUUAAUAGGGAUAGUUGGGGGCAUUAGUAUUCAAUUGUCAGAGGUGAAAUUCUUGGAUUUAUUGAAGACUAACUACUGCGAAAGCAUUUGCCAAGGAUGUUUUCAUUAAUCAAGAACGAAAGUUAGGGGAUCGAAGACGAUCAGAUACCGUCGUAGUCUUAACCAUAAACUAUGCCGACUAGGAAUCAGGCGAUGUUAAUUUUUUAAUGACUCGUUUGGCACCUUACGGGAAACCAAAGUGUUUGGGUUC
Molecule: ribosomal RNA, 572 nt
Filed under: uncultured Glomeromycotina
Lineage: Eukaryota; Fungi; Glomeromycota
Description: SSU rRNA
Rfam family: Eukaryotic small subunit ribosomal RNA
Source: RNAcentral